Helianthus annuus (common sunflower) is the source of this 878-nucleotide long non-coding RNA. RefSeq lists it as uncharacterized. NCBI's taxonomy places the organism in Eukaryota, Viridiplantae, Streptophyta, Magnoliopsida, Asterales, Asteraceae. The transcript has 2 exons. The record is from RefSeq and is a predicted model, not a curated record.
UUAGAAAUUUUAUUAUAAUAAUUACCUUUUAACAUAUUUUGGUUUUUUCAUAUAAAUUUUUGAGAAAAAUACAAUUUGUGUCCCUGUGGUAUGUAUGAAACAUCAACCUGAGCCCCUAAAUUCAUUUUUUGGUUUUUUGAGCCACUGAGCUUAUAAAUUCAUAACAAUUUGAGUCCCUCCGUCACACUUCCGUCUGUUUGACUAUUUGACAAUUGUGAAAUGUCCUUUAUACCCUUAUUGAUAAACAUUAACCUAAGCCACUAAAAUUAUUUAUAGGACCCACCCACCACCUCUUCAUCUUUAACCUUCACACAUCAACAUCCACCACCAUUAUUCUACCUCAACCCAUUAGAUCAAAACAGAGAGAGAGAGAGAGUCACGAGACAUAGAAAUUACGAGAGAGAGGAGCCGGUGAACUUCCGAUUGGCGACACCACUCCGGUAUGUGCACACCUUCAACUGCUAAAGUGAGGAAAGCUGGAAAGAAUGGCUGCGGAUGUAAAUAUACGCAAAACACCAACUACGAAAACAUUGGCGAGAAUACUUGACAACCUCCUGGAAGAUGGUGCGGUGCACAUAAGGAAGUGAUUGAUCAGAACGAUCAAUUGCAUAUGAAUGAAUAUAACCCCAGUGGCAGAUAUGUAAUUAGCGAGCUCUGGAAUUUCAAGGAAAAUCGAAGAGCUACACUAAAGGGGGUUAUCAGCUACAUUCCGAAGUGCACCAGUCAGUAAAGAUCCACAAUUUCUUGAACCAGUACACGGUCUUGUUUACGUUGUAUGUUACGGUGUAUGUUACGGUCUUUUGUUAUCGAGUCUGUAAGUUCCGUCAAGUCUACCAAGUUUAACUUAGUGAUAUGUUCUGUCCAUGUUUGAUGCUUAA